GGCCCGGUAGCUCAGUGGUUAGAGCGCUGGCUUGACAAGCCAGAGGACCGGGGUUGAAUUCCCCGGCCGGGUGG
This is a non-coding RNA of Portunus trituberculatus (swimming crab), 74 nucleotides long. NCBI's taxonomy places the organism in Eukaryota, Metazoa, Arthropoda, Malacostraca, Decapoda, Portunidae. The record is from the annotation of a RefSeq genome assembly.